Molecule: ribosomal RNA, 253 nt
Filed under: uncultured bacterium
Lineage: Bacteria
Description: partial 16S ribosomal RNA
Rfam family: Bacterial small subunit ribosomal RNA
Source: RNAcentral
UACAGAGGUUGCAAGCGUUAAUCGGAUUUACUGGGCGUAAAGUGUGUGUAGGUGGUUGUACAAGUCGGUUGUGAAAUCCCUGGGCUCAACCUGGGAACUGCUUCCGAGACUGUACGACUCGAGAUCGGUAGAGGGCGGUGGAAUUUCCGGUGUAGCGGUGAAAUUCGUAGAUAUCGGGAGGAACACCGGUGGCGAAGGCGGCGACCUGGGUCGACACUGACGCUGAGGCGCGAAAGCGUGGGGAGCAAACAGG